AGAGGUAUGGCUCAAGUGAGAGAGUGUCUGCUUAGCAAAGGUAAGAUCUUGAGUUCAAAUCUCAGUACCUCCA
RNAcentral lists this transfer RNA (73 nucleotides) under Dipodomys ordii (Ord's kangaroo rat). It matches the Rfam family "tRNA". From Rfam's summary of the family: Transfer RNA (tRNA) molecules are approximately 80 nucleotides in length. Their secondary structure includes four short double-helical elements and three loops (D, anti-codon, and T loops). Further hydrogen bonds mediate the characteristic L-shaped molecular structure. tRNAs have two regions of fundamental functional importance: the anti-codon, which is responsible for specific mRNA codon recognition, and the 3' end, to which the tRNAs corresponding amino acid is attached (by aminoacyl-tRNA synthetases). tRNAs cope with the degeneracy of the genetic code in two manners: having more than one tRNA (with a specific anti-codon) for a particular amino acid; and 'wobble' base-pairing, i.e. permitting non-standard base-pairing at the 3rd anti-codon position. The record is from Rfam by way of RNAcentral. Lineage: Eukaryota; Metazoa; Chordata; Mammalia; Rodentia; Heteromyidae.